RNAcentral lists this long non-coding RNA (839 nucleotides) under Salvia miltiorrhiza (redroot sage). Its description in RNAcentral is "long non-coding RNA (SMIL_LNC002309)". Lineage: Eukaryota; Viridiplantae; Streptophyta; Magnoliopsida; Lamiales; Lamiaceae. The record is from RNAcentral.
CACCUUAACAUUCAUCUGUAAGGCAAUAAGCACUCACGAAAUGCUAACAAAAAGACCACUCUGGUCAACCUAAUAUAUCCAUCAGUAGAAUGCCUCUUUUUAGAGGACUUACAUAAAGGGGUUAUAUAAACCUUACAAAAACCAUAGUAUCUAUCGUAAUGUCCCUUCUAAACCGACACCAUUAAUAGUACUAUGUCUCGGUCUGGACCUCCUACGGUAAUUGCUACCAGUUAACUCAUCUAGUUGCUACUUUAGCACUUAGUUGCUACUUUAGCACACUAGGAACAUCCAUCUAUUUAACAUCAGUAGGGUACUAUAUUCGCAUGCUUAUCUAUCAGCAUGUCAAAAGCUCAAGUACCAGUAUCUCCUAAGUAAGUUAUAUACAUCGCAAUGUAAUUGAAACUAAUCAAAAACGAGGGUGUACCGCUCAUACUCUCAAGAUCAUCCUUAGCUCUAGUCUACAUCGACUUCUCUUCUCAUCCUCAUCAACUCUAGCCCUCCUCGGCUACUUCUCAUCCUCAUUAUCGUUUAUCAUUUAUCAUCUUUGGUAACUGAUACUCAAGGAUCGACUCGAUAUCUACUACACUCUUCUAGAGUCCCUGGUAGAAAACAGGCAUCCGGUCAGUAGAUCCGCAUAGAAAAUCUGGGCAUCUGUAAUAAAUCCCAUCUCCUGUGGGUCCAGCACUCAAGACGACACGUCCCAUCAUAUUGAGAGGCUUUCUUCCUUGCUCAAUCCUACCACUCGAUUGGUAGCACGGGGACUAGGUGCACGAUGCCAUCCAGUCUAGUAACAACCAUAAGGCUUUCAUCCUUUCAUAGUCUAUGAACAUGUGUUUGAA